This 2731-nucleotide ribosomal RNA is filed under the name Goniomonas pacifica. RNAcentral describes it as "partial Bacterial large subunit ribosomal RNA". It matches the Rfam family "Bacterial large subunit ribosomal RNA". The record is from RNAcentral. Lineage: Eukaryota; Cryptophyceae; Goniomonadida; Goniomonadaceae.
CUAAAAGUUAAUGAUGAAUUUCUUGACAGAAGAUAAAUAAAGGACGUGAUUCAUUUACGAAAUUUCCAAGAUAAGAAAAAUAUAUAAAAAAUAUCGAUGACCUUGGAUUAUCCUUAAAACUGAAAAGUUUCAACAAAAAGGUAAGAAAAAAAUAGCGAACUGAACCAUCUUAGUAGCUAUAUUAUAAAAUCAACCGAGAACUCUAUUAGUAAAGGCGAUUGAAUAUAGAGACUAGCUUAGCUCCGUUUAGAAUAUAAAGAAUUUAGAAAGAGUUGAAAACCUCUGCCAAAGAAAGUGAAAGCCUUGUAUAAAAACGAAAUAUUCCCAAGAAAACGAAGCGUGUAUCAAGGCUAAAACCUUGAUCGUAAAGGAGUACCAUAUGACUUCUAAGCUAAAAAUAUCUUCUGAUCGAUAGCGUAAAAGUAAUGUGAAUGAAAGAUGAAAAGAAUUCUACGGAAUAGUGAAAGAGAUCAUGAAAUCAUUAAUUAAUAAACUUCCAAAGAGAGAAAAAACUUUCGAUGGAUUACCUUUUGCAUCAUGAGUCAACAAGGUAGAUUGUUAAGCAUAAAGUUUGUAAAAGCAUAGCGAAAGCAAGUUAGAAAAUAGCGAUAGCUUAAGAAUCUAAACGCGAACGAAAGUGAUCUAAUAAUGAUCAGGUUGAAAUGUUAUUUACAUAACACGAAGGACCGAACCAGUCAAUGUUGCAAUAUUGUUGGAUGAAUUGUUAUUAGCGAUGAAAUGUUAAACGAACUUUCCACUAGCUCGUUCUUUUCGAAAUCUAUUGAAGUAGACCUCUUAUUAGAAAUCUUCAGGUAAAGCUCUUUUUUAAACUAGGGAUCAUUGUAUUUACGACUUUAAUUAAAACUAAGAAUUGAAGAUUAAAAGAAAAUAAGAGAGACAGACUGUAGUUUUGAACAUCUAUAGUCAAGAGGGAAACAGCCCAGACAAUUAGCUAAAGCCCGUAAAAUAAGCUUAAGUAUGAAAGGAUGUUUGUUAAGGAAGACAACUACCAAAUAGGCUUAGAAGCAGCCAUAUUUUAAAGAAAGCGUAACAGCUCAGUAGAAGAUCUUAAAUACAGCGCCAAAAAUUUAUUCGGAUUAAAAGCUUAUGCUGAAGCUAUUGCUUUUUUAUUAUUUUAUUAUUUUAUUAUUUAAUAAAAAAGGGUAGAAAAGUAUUAUAUAAACUCAAAAGACUGAUUUGUAAAGAUUAAGUUUAGAGAUUAUAAGAGAUUAUGUUGAUAUUAGUAGAGUUAAAGAUUUGAAAAUCUGACCGUAAAUCGAAGAUUUUCUAUUUAAAAAAAUAAAAUAGAGUAAACUUGUACCUUAGCUUAUCUUACCAAGAAAAUUAUGAAAGUAAAAAUCAAAAGAAUCUGAAAAGAAAAAGUGAAGGGGAAUUAAUAACUUAAGAAGUAUAAAGGCUUUUUAUAAAAAGAAAAAAAGAAAGACUGAAAGCUUCUUCUAGAAAAAAAUAAUACAAAAACAAUAUUAAAACCGACACAGGUAGAUUAGUAUAAGUAUACUAAGGUUUUGGAUAAAAUCAUCUUUAAGGAACUCGGCAAAAUGACCUCGUAACAAUUGGAUAAGAGGGUGUAUUGAGAAAAUACAAUGUGUAAAUUAAUAACGGCAACUGUUUAUCAAAAACACAGGUAUCAGCAAAGUGUAAUAAUGAUGUAUUGAUACUGGAAUCUGCCCGGUGCUAGUAUAAUGAAAGGUGUAAAGUGAGAGCUUAAUACUCAAGUCCUAGUAAACGGCAGUCAUAUUUUUAAUGAUUCUAAGGUAGCGAAAUUCCUUGACGUUUAAUUGGCGUCCUGCAUGAAUGAAUCAAUGACCGUUAUACUGUCUCAAAGAUGAGAUCCUCGAAAUUGAAUUACGUGUGCAAAUGCACGUUACUUAAACCUAGAAAAAAAGUCUCUUAGAGUUUAACUUGUAUCUAAAUUUGAAAACUUAUUCUAUUUAUGUAGUAAUAGCUGGGAGAGAAAUCACCAAUGAAAGACCAGCUAGAUAGCCUAAGUUUCCUAACUUUGGAACAAAGAACAGAUUUAGAAAGCUAGUUUAGCUGGGGCUUCUAUCUUCCAAAUGAUAAAGAAGAUGUGUAUAAGGUUAGGUUAACUCUCUAUUUAGAGAGGGCAAAAAUAUAAUGGUAACAAACCUAGCUUGACUGUAAAAUAUAUAAAUUGAACAGGGACGCAAGUCGACCAUAGUGAUCCGAUAUAAUUGAAUGGAUAAAGAUAUCGCCGACAGAUAAAAAUUACCUUAGAGACAACAGGCAUUCUAACAGUAAGAGCUCUUAUCGAACUGGUUUAGAUGUACUUCGAUGUUGAAUAGACUUAUCCUGGAGGAGCAGAAGAUUCCAAGGGUUCUAUUGUUCAUAGAUUAAAAAGUCACUUGAUUUGAGUUAAGAUCGUCGUGAGACAGAUCGGUUUAUAUCUAGUUUAAGAAAGUUAAGAAGAAAAAAAAAAGAAAAUCUUAAUACGAAAGGAAUAGAUUUUAUUAGCCUAUAGUGUAACAAUUGUCUGAUAUAGGCAUCGUUGUGAAGCCACGCUAAAAAAGAUAAUCAUUGAAUGCAUCAAUAUGAGAAGCUUAUUUUUAUCCUUUUCUUCAAGAAAAAAAUCAAUUCGGAUUGGAAUUCAUUCCAAUUCAUUAUGAAUGAUGAUAGUAGCAAAUCGUUCUAGACUAGGACGUUGAUAGGUACUCGGUAUUAAAUUUAUAAAAAAAAAGCUUGAGUAUACUAA